This 1345-nucleotide ribosomal RNA is filed under the name uncultured bacterium. RNAcentral describes it as "bacterial SSU rRNA". It matches the Rfam family "Bacterial small subunit ribosomal RNA", at positions 27 to 1381 of the family's 1533-position model. The record is from RNAcentral.
GGAUGAACGUUGGCGGCGUGCCUAAUACAUGCAAGUCGAACGAAGACUGUAGUAAUACUGUCUUAGUGGCGAACGGGUGAGUAACGCGUGGGUGACCUGCCCCGAAGUGUGGGAUAACAGUUCGAAAGGAUUGCUAAUACUGCAUAAUAUCCAAGAGAUUAGACGCUUUUGGAUUAAAGGAGUAAUUCGCUUCGGGAGGGGCCCGCGUCCCAUCAGCUAGUUGGUAAGGUAAUGGCUUACCAAGGCGAUGACGGGUAGGGGACCUGAGAGGGUGGCCCCCCACAAUGGAACUGAAACACGGUCCAUACACCUACGGGUGGCAGCAGUAGGGAAUAUUAGUAAUGGGCGAAAGCCUGAACUAGCAACGCCGCGUGUGCGAAGAAGGCCUUCGGGUCGUAAAGCACUUUUUGAGAGGAUGAGGAAGGACGGUACUCUCAGAAUAAGUCUCGGCUAACUACGUGCCAGCAGCCGCGGUAACACGUAGGAGGCAAACGUUAUCCGGAUUUACUGGGCGUAAAGCGCGUGUAGGUGGUUUGGUAAGUAGGGCGUGAAAGCUCCUGGCUCAACUGGGAGAGGACGUUCUAAACUGCCAAGCUUGAGGAUGGUAGAGGGAGGUGGAAUUCCGGGUGUGGCGGUGGAAUGCGCAGAUAUCCGGAGGAACACCAGUGGCGAAGGCGGCCUCCUGGACCACUCCUGACACUCAGACGCGAAAGCUAGGGUAGCAAACGGGAUUAGAGACCCCGGUAGUCCUAGCCCUAAACGAUGUAGACUUGGCGUCGGUGGUUUAAUCGCCAUCGGUGUCGUAGCUAACGCGAUAAGUCUACCGCCUGGGGACUACGGCCGCAAGGUUAAAACUCAUAGGAAUUGACGGGUCCCCGCACAAGCAGCGGAGCGUGUGGUUUAAUUCGAUGCUACACGAAGAACCUUACCUGGGUUCGACAUGCAGGUGUUAGUGAAGAGAGAUCGGAACGACUCUGCAGUAAUGCAGGGAGCCUGCACAGGUGCUGCAUGGCUGUCGUCAGCUCGUGUCGUGAGAUGUUGGGGUAAGUCCCGCAACGAGCGCAACCCCUAUUGCCAGUUGCUAACAGGAGAGCUGAGCACUCUGGCGAGACUGCCGCCGACAAGGCGGAGGAAGGUGGGGAUGACGUCAAGUCAUCAUGGCCUUUAUGCCCAGGGCUACACACGUGCUACAAUGGCCGGCACAGACGGCAGCUUAGUGGCGACACUUGGCCAAUCCUCUAAAGCCGGUCCCAGUUCGGAUUGCAGUCUGCAACUCGACUGCAUGAAGUCGGAAUCGCUAGUAAUCGCAGAUCAGCCAAGCUGCGGUGAAUACGUUCCCGGGCCU